UACGAAGGGGGCUAGCGUUGCUCGGAAUGACUGGGCGUAAAGGGCGCGUAGGCGGCCGAUCAAGUCGGGGGUGAAAGCCUGUGGCUCAACCACAGAAUUGCCUUCGAUACUGUUUGGCUAGAGACCGGAAGAGGUUAGUGGAACUGCGAGUGUAGAGGUGAAAUUCGUAGAUAUUCGCAAGAACACCAGUGGCGAAGGCGGCUAACUGGUCCGGUUCUGACGCUGAGGCGCGAAAGCGUGGGGAGCAAACAGG
This 253-nucleotide ribosomal RNA is filed under the name uncultured bacterium. Its description in RNAcentral is "partial 16S ribosomal RNA". It matches the Rfam family "Bacterial small subunit ribosomal RNA", at positions 524 to 776 of the family's 1533-position model. The record is from RNAcentral.